CCCGACUCCAUGAAGCUGGAUUCGCUAGUAAUCGCGCAUCAGCCACGGCGCGGUGAAUACGUUCCCGGGCCUUGUACACACCGCCCGUCAAGCCAUGGAAGCCGGGAGUGCCUGAAGUGUGCAACCGCAAGGAGCGCCCUAAGGUAAAACCGGUGACUGGGGCUAAGUCGUAACAAGGUAUC
This 182-nucleotide ribosomal RNA is filed under the name uncultured bacterium. RNAcentral describes it as "partial 16S ribosomal RNA". It matches the Rfam family "Bacterial small subunit ribosomal RNA", at positions 1311 to 1500 of the family's 1533-position model. The record is from RNAcentral.